CGGUUAAAUUGCCCUAAUGUCACGCCCAGAAAUUCCUCACACGAAUUUCUGAACUUAAUUAUGUAUUAAAAUCCCUGUUCAGGACCAGCCAGGGUACACAAAAAGACAAUGUUGAUUACAUAACCAUCGUCCUUAGAAAUAACUGAAAAUUACACUUAUUCUAGCGGAAAUGCAGCGGAAAGAAAAAGGUAGACUAGCUCCAGCGGGUACGGCUCCAGUCCACAGGCAAAGCUUCGACGGCGN
Molecule: long non-coding RNA, 243 nt
Filed under: Oryza brachyantha (malo sina)
Lineage: Eukaryota; Viridiplantae; Streptophyta; Magnoliopsida; Poales; Poaceae
Description: long non-coding RNA (OBRA_LNC003388)
Source: RNAcentral